UACACUCCUACGGGAGGCAGCAGUGGGGAAUUUUGGACAAUGGGCGAAAGCCUGAUCCAGCAAUGCCGCGUGAGUGAAGAAGGCCUUCGGGUUGUAAAGCUCUUUUGUCAGGGAAGAAACGGUGAGAGCUAAUAUCUCUUGCUAAUGACGGUACCUGAAGAAUAAGCACCGGCUAACUACGUGCCAGCAGCCGCGGUAAUACGUAGGGUGCAAGCGUUAAUCGGAAUUACUGGGCGUAAAGCGUGCGCAGGCGGUUUUGUAAGUCUGAUGUGAAAUCCCCGGGCUCAACCUGGGAAUUGCAUUGGAGACUGCAAGGCUAGAAUCUGGCAGAGGGGGGUAGAAUUCCACGUGUAGCAGUGAAAUGCGUAGAUAUGUGGAGGAACACCGAUGGCGAAGGCAGCCCCCUGGGUCAAGAUUGACGCUCAUGCACGAAAGCGUGGGGAGCAAACAGGAUUAGAAACCCCAGUAGUCCCAUG
Molecule: ribosomal RNA, 476 nt
Filed under: uncultured organism
Description: partial 16S ribosomal RNA
Rfam family: Bacterial small subunit ribosomal RNA
Source: RNAcentral